GACGUAGGGGGCGAGCGUUAUCCGGAUUCACUGGGCGUAAAGGGCGCGCAGGCGGCUAUGUAAGUCCGGCGUGAAAUCCCAUGGCUUAACUGUGGAACUGCGUCGGAUACUGCAUUGGCUUGAGGGCGGUAGAGGCUUCUGGAACUAGCGGUGUAGCGGUGAAAUGCGCAGAUAUCGCUAGGAACGCCGGUGGCGAAGGCGGGAAGCUGGGCCGAUCCUGACGCUGAGGCGCGAAAGCUAGGGGAGCGAACCGG
RNAcentral lists this ribosomal RNA (254 nucleotides) under uncultured bacterium. Its description in RNAcentral is "partial 16S ribosomal RNA". It matches the Rfam family "Bacterial small subunit ribosomal RNA", at positions 524 to 776 of the family's 1533-position model. The record is from RNAcentral.